RNAcentral lists this ribosomal RNA (460 nucleotides) under uncultured bacterium. RNAcentral describes it as "partial 16S ribosomal RNA". It matches the Rfam family "Bacterial small subunit ribosomal RNA", at positions 338 to 795 of the family's 1533-position model. The record is from RNAcentral.
CCUACGGGGUGCAGCAGUGAGGAAUAUUGGUCAAUGGGCGCGAGCCUGAACCAGCCAAGUAGCGUGAAGGAUGACUGCCCUACGGGUUGUAAACUUCUUUUAUAAAGGAAUAAAGUGCGGCACGUGUGCCUUUUUGUAUGUACUUUAUGAAUCAGGCUCGGCUAACUCCGUGCCAGCAGCCGCGGUAAUCCGGAGGGUCCGGGCGUUAUCCGGAUUUAUUGGGUUUAAAGGGAGCGUAGAUGGGUUGUUAAGUCAGUUGUGAAAGUUUGCGGCUCAACCGUAAAAUUGCAAUUGAUACUGGCAGGCUGGAGUACAGUUGAGGUAGGCGGAAUUCGUGGUGUAGCGGUGAAAUGCUUAGAUAUCACGAAGAACUCCGAUUGCGAAGGCAGCUUACUAAACUGCAACUGACAUUGAUGCUCGAAAGUGUGGGUAUCAAACAGGAUUAGAUACCCGGGUAGUC